Molecule: ribosomal RNA, 533 nt
Filed under: Escherichia coli
Lineage: Bacteria; Pseudomonadati; Pseudomonadota; Gammaproteobacteria; Enterobacterales; Enterobacteriaceae
Description: partial 23S ribosomal RNA
Rfam family: Bacterial large subunit ribosomal RNA
Source: RNAcentral
GCGAGCAGGUGCGAAAGCAGGUCAUAGUGAUCCGGUGGUUCUGAAUGGAAGGGCCAUCGCUCAACGGAUAAAAGGUACUCCGGGGAUAACAGGCUGAUACCGCCCAAGAGUUCAUAUCGACGGCGGUGUUUGGCACCUCGAUGUCGGCUCAUCACAUCCUGGGGCUGAAGUAGGUCCCAAGGGUAUGGCUGUUCGCCAUUUAAAGUGGUACGCGAGCUGGGUUUAGAACGUCGUGAGACAGUUCGGUCCCUAUCUGCCGUGGGCGCUGGAGAACUGAGGGGGGCUGCUCCUAGUACGAGAGGACCGGAGUGGACGCAUCACUGGUGUUCGGGUUGUCAUGCCAAUGGCACUGCCCGGUAGCUAAAUGCGGAAGAGAUAAGUGCUGAAAGCAUCUAAGCACGAAACUUGCCCCGAGAUGAGUUCUCCCUGAGACUUAGAGUCUCCUGAAGGAACGUUGAAGACGACGACGUUGAUAGGCCGGGUGUGUAAGCGCAGCGAUGCGUUGAGCUAACCGGUACUAAUGAACCGUGAGG